GCUUGGCGGGUUGAAAUGAUGGGCCCAGCCCACCAAUUUGUGAUGGGCCAAUGGGCUGGCCCGCGGGCCACGACCCACUUUUCCAUCCCUACAUAUGGAAUCGUGAACCUGAUAGAGUUCUUAGUAUUAGAAGAACUACCAAAAGUGGUCAUCAAGAUGGGUCAAUUCCUGAUGAAGUUAGACCUUAUCUUGCACAAGAAGGGAUGUUGGGAGUGACUGAAAUGUCAUACUUUCCUAUUGACCACCAGUUAAUUUCAGCAUUAGUUGAGUGGUGGAGACCUGAAACACACACUUUUCACAUGACAUUUGGAGAGUGUACAAUUACAUUGGAAGAUGUUUCAAUUUUUCUUGAUCUUAAGGUACAUGGAGACCCAAUUACUGGUUGUUCGACAUAUAGAUGGGUUCCACUUGUUAAAGAUUUAUUCGGAAUUACACCACCAACAACUUCAAUUAAAGGUGGAAAGUUGAAGAUGAGUUGGGUCGAUCAAUACUUUUUUGAUGUUUCCAUGCAUGUACACAUCAUGCAACAAAUAGAACGAUAUGCCCGAGCUUAUAUUUUGCGAUUUCUUGGGGGUAAGUUAUUCUCUGACAAGUCUUCAACUCUAGUACUGAUGCGAUAUUUGGUCAUGUUAACAAAUUUAGACCAAUACUUAGUUGGGGAUCAGCCUUGCUUGGUCAUUUAUAUAGAGAACCGUGUGUUGCCACUAAUUAUGACAAUAAAGAAAUUAGUGGGGCAUGUGUUUUACUCCAAUUGUGGGCAUGGUACCGGAUGCCAUAUUUUGCACUGCUGUCUGCACCACUAAAUAUUGUUGGCGUUCCUUUAGGUGCAAGGUGGAAUAGUGUCAUGCAGGUAACGCAAAGAACUCUUGUUCAGAUUCGUGAUGCAUUAGAUAAGAUGAAGGAUAAAGAUGUACGUUGAGAGUUUUUAUUGAUUACAACUUUAAAGUGGAUAUCUUAAAAUUAGUAUUAAUUUAUGACUUUUUGUAUUUUUUAUGUGUAGUUUGUUUGGCAUACCUUCAAUAUUUUCAUUCUCUACCACCAUAUUGUGUAGAUAACACAAAUAUUUGGAGGGCGGUAGUGCCAUUAAUUGACUUUCAUAUAAUUGAGUAUCACCAUGAUGACUGUGUGAUGCGCCAAUUUGGUAUGGUACAACACAUUCCUCGUCCUCCACAUCAACUAGAUAAUUUGCACUAUCUAACUUUACGCUGUCUUUGUACAUGAGUGGGAAACAAUAUUAGAUUGUGUCUGGACACAAGAAGCUUGUACUACUACAUGAUUAAGUAGUAGUUCAGAGUACAUGGUGUGGUAUUAUAGACACACCAGACGUUGGAUUGGACAUAUUACUGCAAAACAAGGUUAUGUAGUAAGUCAUAUAUAACAAUACAUGUUUUAUAAUUAAUUGUUUUGGUUACUUAUAUUUUUGUUUUAUAUUAAGUUGAACAUGUAAACUUCACAUUAAUUUAUUUACAGGAGGACACUAUUGAGGAAAUGUAUCAUAAAGCCAAAACAGAACCUAGAAGUAGUUUUUCAAUGGAAGAAUUGACUAAUAACCUUGCUAACUGCUUAGAGGUUUAUGGUGAAUUCCAUCGACUUUAAUAUCCCUUUACAGGUGCUCCACCACCAUCACAAGACAAGCUUGAACUAGUUGUUGUGAUGCAAAUUGGUGCAAGCCGAUGAUAGGGUCGUGGCCUUGGACGUAGUUGCAGGUGUGUAGAUCUGUGCCAGCAAAUGACCCCCCUACAGGUAGUUAUUACGCUUGUCCAAUGACACCAUCCAGGGGUUAUAGUCAGUAUGUAUAUACUUCAGGUGAUACUAGUAGAGAAAGUCCUACUUCUGCUGCUUAUGUUUCAUUUCCAUGUGAAACAUAUUUACCACCUUCAUCUGGUGCAUAUGUUCCUUCUCCACCAUCAUACACUCCAGAUGCUUAUAUGAGCAACGUGAUGACUCCAUCAGCACCUUAUUAUCCAUUUAGAUAUGGUGGAGAUGAUAUGCAUGGUACUUCUUUAGGCGGAACUUCUUUUACAGUCAUGGUUCCUUCUAUCUCUCGCGCAUAACUUUAAUGGCUGCGUCAACUCGUUCUCCUAUUGGGAUCCUCAUAUGAAUGUGUUUCGAUUUGAUUGUGCCUUCUACCAAGUGAAUUUUGCCAUUGUUCUCUUUAGCCGAAGCUUGAUGGUGUAGGAGUUUAUGAGUAAUACUCAAUUUCAGAUCUAGAAUUAUUAGCAGAGGUCACAUCUAAUUGGAAAAUAACUUUGGUUGUUGCAACAUUCAUUUUGGCAAGUUAUAUACA
Molecule: non-coding RNA, 2287 nt
Organism: Cajanus cajan (pigeon pea)
Lineage: Eukaryota; Viridiplantae; Streptophyta; Magnoliopsida; Fabales; Fabaceae
Source: RefSeq, a predicted model, not a curated record